CAGUCGCCACGGGAACACGGAGGGUGCAAGCGUUAAUCGGAAUUACUGGGCGUAAAGCGCACGCAGGCGGUCUGUCAAGUCAGAUGUGAAAUCCCCGGGCUUAACCUGGGAACUGCAUUUGAAACUGGCAGGCUAGAGUCUUGUAGAGGGGGGUAGAAUUCCAGGUGUAGCGGUGAAAUGCGUAGAGAUCUGGAGGAAUACCGGUGGCGAAGGCGGCCCCCUGGACAAAGACUGACGCUCAGGUGCGAAAGCGUGGGGAGCAAACAGGAUUAGAUACCCCUGUAGUCCCUGUCUCUUAUAC
Molecule: ribosomal RNA, 301 nt
Filed under: uncultured bacterium
Lineage: Bacteria
Description: partial 16S ribosomal RNA
Rfam family: Bacterial small subunit ribosomal RNA
Source: RNAcentral